GUUUCCUCCCAGGGCCAUUGUUACCACCUGAUCAUUUCAGUUUUAGUUUCUCUAGCAGAUGCUGGCUAAUGACUGACCAGGAUCGAAUCAUCAAUUUAGUUGUUGGCAGCUUAACAUCCUUAUUGAUUCUAGUAACGCUGAUAAGUGCUUUUGUUUUCCCUCAACUACCUCCAAAACCGUUGAAUAUAUUCUUUGCUGUCUGCAUCUCUUUGAGUAGUAUUACUGCCUGCAUACUUGUAAGUACUGUUGAGAAUUUAAACAGUGUUCUUGAGGGUUUAAGUUGCAAUGCACAGGACAAAAAUUUUCAGCCUUGGGUCUGUACAAAACGGUAUCUCUUAAUUAUAUCCUCAUCCUCCCCCUAAAAGUAUGUUAGAAUUCUCAAUAAAAUCUGAGUCUUCUCCUUUUCUCCUAAAUCCCAAAGUUGUAACCCCAAAGAGAAAUUCCAUUCCCUUGAUAGCU
This 459-nucleotide small RNA is filed under the name Pongo abelii (Sumatran orangutan). RNAcentral describes it as "processed transcript". The record is from RNAcentral. Lineage: Eukaryota; Metazoa; Chordata; Mammalia; Primates; Hominidae.